UACGGAGGGUGCGAGCGUUAAUCGGAAUUACUGGGCGUAAAGCGUGCGCAGGCUGUUCUGUAAGUCAGAUGUGAAAUCCCCGAGCUCAACUUGGGAACUGCGUUUGAAACUACAGGACUAGAAUAUGUCAGAGGGGGGUAGAAUUCCACGUGUAGCAGUGAAAUGCGUAGAGAUGUGGAGGAAUACCAAUGGCGAAGGCAGCCCCCUGGGAUAAUAUUGACGCUCAUGCACGAA
This 234-nucleotide ribosomal RNA is filed under the name uncultured bacterium. RNAcentral describes it as "partial 16S ribosomal RNA". It matches the Rfam family "Bacterial small subunit ribosomal RNA", at positions 524 to 757 of the family's 1533-position model. The record is from RNAcentral.